Molecule: ribosomal RNA, 460 nt
Filed under: uncultured bacterium
Lineage: Bacteria
Description: partial 16S ribosomal RNA
Rfam family: Bacterial small subunit ribosomal RNA
Source: RNAcentral
CCUACGGGAGGCAGCAGUGAGGAAUAUUGGUCAAUGGACGAGAGUCUGAACCAGCCAAGUAGCGUGAAGGAUGACUGCCCUCUGGGUUGUAAACUUCUUUUAUAAAGGAAUAAAACGAGGCACGUGUGCCUUUUUGCAUGUACUUUAUGAAUAAGGAUCGGCUAACUCCGUGCCAGCAGCCGCGGUAAUACGGUGGAUCCGAGCGUUAUCCGGAUUUAGUGGGUUUAAAGGGAGCGUAGAUGGGUUGUUAAGUCAGUUGUGAAAGUUUGCGGCUCAACCGUAAAAUUGCAAUUGAUACUGGCAGUCUUGAGUACAGUUGAGGUAGGCGGAAUUCGUGAUGUAGCGGUGAAAUGCUUAGAUAUCACGAAGAACCCCGAUUGCGAAGGCAGCUUACUAAACUGUGACUGACAUUGAUGCGCGAAAGUGUGGGUAUCAAACAGGAUUAGAUACCCUGGUAGUC